RNAcentral lists this long non-coding RNA (1284 nucleotides) under Homalodisca vitripennis (glassy-winged sharpshooter). Its description in RNAcentral is "uncharacterized LOC124370212, transcript variant X2". The record is from RNAcentral. Lineage: Eukaryota; Metazoa; Arthropoda; Insecta; Hemiptera; Cicadellidae.
UAUAUAUAUAAGUUAUCAUGAUCUUGGGCUUAAGUCUUACCAUGCCACCUACAGUAAUAAUUAACACUUUAUUGCAUGUUUCUGAUUUCAGGUACAGCGGUACAAACUUAUUAGCAGAUUUGUUAAAAGAGCCUUCUGGACAGUUCCAAAACUUCUGUAGAAUGUCUAAUGAAGAUUUUAGUUCACUACUAGCAAAAGUAACACCUUUGAUUGCUAAGAAAGAUACAAAGUGGAGGAAAGCAAUACCACCGAAUGAACGUUUAGCCAUAACCUUACGAUUCCUAGCAACAGGAGAUAGUUUUAAAAGCCUGCAUUACUAGUUUAAAGUAUCACCCCAAAUAAUAUCAGAGAUAAUUCCAGAAGUAUGCAGCUCAAUAAUUGAAGUACUGAAGGAUGUUAUUAAGCUUCCUGCUACUGCGACUGAGUGGAGAAUAAUUAGUCGGCAUUUCGAGGAACUGUGGAAUUUCCCACACUGCAUUGGUACUAUUGAUGGGAAACACGUAACAAUUCAGUCACCAAUCAACAGUGGAUCCGAAUUCUUCAAUUAUAAGAAAUACUUCAGUAUUGUACUCAUGGCGCUGGUUGACGCUGAGUAUUGUUUUAUGUUCGCUGAUUGUGGCUGUCAAGGAAGACUGAGUGAUGGUGCAGUUUUUAAAAACACUGUACUCUACAACAAAAUAAAAAGUAAGAGUUUGAAUUUACCUAACGAUGAGCCGCUACCAGGGAGACAAAAACUGAUGCCGUAUGUAUUUCUUGGUGAUGAUGCAUUUGCUUUAAGUAAGCGACUCAUGAAGCCAUUUCCAGGUAGCCAUGAACAAGGUAGCAAACCCCGCAUUUUUUAAUUACCGUCUAUCACGAGCCCGAAGAAUAGUAGAGAAUACGUUCGGAAUAAUGGCUAGUGUUUUCCGUGUACUAAGGAAGCCAAUGCUACUACAACCUGACAAAGUGGCACUAGUUACUAUGACCUGUGUUAUUCUGCAUAAUUUUUUAAGAAGAAGCAGGACAUCACGAUCGAUGUACACUCCAGCGGGAACCUUUGAUUCUGAAGAUAAUGGUAUGGUUACAGGAGGGUCGUGGAGGGAAGAUACCGCUGAUAUGACAUCUAUGUUACCUCUACAGAAAGUGCCUAGGAAGCCAGGUACCGCAGCAAAGGAAUACAGAGAAGAGUUUGCUGAAUACUUUAUGAACAAUGGAAAAAUCCCCUGGCAAAAUGACUACAGUUAAAUACAUGUGUACCCUGUACCAUUGAUUUUAAUAAAUAAAUAUAAAUAUUUUACCUCUGAA